Molecule: long non-coding RNA, 699 nt
Organism: Venturia canescens
Lineage: Eukaryota; Metazoa; Arthropoda; Insecta; Hymenoptera; Ichneumonidae
Exons: 2
Source: RefSeq, a predicted model, not a curated record
CAUCAUCGUGCAACCAUUACGCUUUGUGCAAUCCUGUGUACGUCAAAUUUUCAUUUUCCCCACUCAAAGUUUCGAAAUAAUUACUUUCUUUUCGCUAAUUUUUCCCCUUUCUACGCGAUGCUCGUGUCGUACUGGCAAUAUUUAAAGUGGAGAUUUGAAACGAAGAAGAAAUUGAUAUCAGAAACUGUUUCGAUCUCUCUAUAGAUUGACGCUGAUAUAGCGUCAAGUUUCUUUCAUCAAGGAAGCUCACGCGAAUCUAAUGGAAAUCGAAAAUUCUAACUUUGAGAGGUUAUGCACAGGCUCUUAUGGCAGGCACACUUCCUGUGCGACGAUUCGUAUUUAAUGAAAUAGAGAAUCCUCCCAACUUUCAAGAGCCAAAAACGAGAAUAAGAAAAUAGAAGAUUUUUAGAUAUCAAUGACGUCUUGAGAAAGUCUUGUUACCAGUGAAAAUGACUUCGAAAUGGAAAAAGAAAAACACUUUUUUGAGGUUAACGAGUAAUAACGAUCAACGGUGGAAGGUUUGACAACACCAUGAGCCAGCAGCUGGUUUAAAAUAUAGAUAUGCAUACGCAUAUAAAUAGAAAAUGGCUGUUGUCACAUUUUGCUUGACGAUUUUACUACAAUAGUAUUUUAAUUAACCGCUAUCAUUAUAUUAAAAAUUGAUCAACCACAAUAAAUAAGUUACGCAUAUAAUAUUAA